Molecule: long non-coding RNA, 792 nt
Organism: Herpailurus yagouaroundi (jaguarundi)
Lineage: Eukaryota; Metazoa; Chordata; Mammalia; Carnivora; Felidae
Exons: 2
Source: RefSeq, a predicted model, not a curated record
AGACCGGACAACAAGAGGAAACGGUUUUUUCCAGAGCUGAGCUGGCUUCAUUUGCAUAUGAUUCGGGGCAAGGGGUUCCGCUGAACCCCAAGACAAUCUAGGGCUUGUGAUUACUGUGCCGUAUGCAGUGCCUAACACUGGCUGGAAAAGAAGUGUAAUUCUAUCAUAGGAAAUCCACUUCAAGUAAUGGAAGAGACUCAUUUUUCCAUAAGAAAACGUUUGAUCAAGAGCUGAGUAUUCAUCAGGGAUGCAGUUGAAUUUCAAUUCCAAAGCUGUCACCGUAAUAUUCCGGAGCCUUGCAGCCCCAAGUGGACACGUACAUUUAUAGAUCUUGCUGGGGAUUUUGCAAACCACAAUGGUAGUAAUGGACGACGCUCGCGGGAAGUCAUAAAGGAGCUCAGUGUGGUCACGGCCCAGGUGGGAUGUAGUACCACAGAAACGCUAAUGCCCAUCUUGGGAAAGUGGACCCCAUGUGCCAGCAGGGCAGCCGGUGACGGGAAUCCAGGCCAGCAACCGGGACACGCGGACAGGAGACGGCUUCAGUGCAAAUAUAUGACACAUACUAUCUUCAGCUCGGAGUCGUGGGGGAUCGCAGGCGGCCGCCUGGCCCACGCUCUGGAAGACCGUGGAGCAUGUGCACCUCGGAGGGGAAGCGCCUGGGCUGUGCCUGUCACCCACCCCACGGGGACAGAAAUCAAACAGAAGAGAACCACCGGAUGAGAUUUACGGUAACAGAAAUCACUGCUCGCUAACUUUUAAGUUAGGCUCUGGAAUACAAAACACAGUUCUGAU